AUACGUAGGGUGCAAGCGUUAAUCGGAAUUACUGGGCGUAAAGCGUGCGCAGGCGGUUUUGUAAGACAGAGGUGAAAUCCCCGGGCUCCACCUGGGAACUGCCUUUGUGACUGCAAGGCUAGAGUACGGCAGAGGGGGAUGGAAUUCCGCGUGUAGCAGUGAAAGGCGUAGAUAUGCGGAGGGACACCGAUGGCGAAGGCAUUCCCCUGGGCCUGUACUGACGCUCAUGCACGAAAGCGUGGGGAGCAAACAGGGUUAGAUACCCUGGUAGUCCACGCCCUAAACGAUGUCAACUGGUUGUUGGGUCUUCAUUGACUUAGUAACGAAGCUAACGCGUGAAGUUGACCGCCUGGGGAGUACGGCCGCAAGGUUGCAACUCAAAUGAAUUGACGGGG
Molecule: ribosomal RNA, 395 nt
Filed under: uncultured bacterium
Lineage: Bacteria
Description: partial 16S ribosomal RNA
Rfam family: Bacterial small subunit ribosomal RNA
Source: RNAcentral